Molecule: non-coding RNA, 231 nt
Organism: Pelobates cultripes (western spadefoot toad)
Lineage: Eukaryota; Metazoa; Chordata; Amphibia; Anura; Pelobatidae
Source: the annotation of a GenBank genome assembly
GAAUAUGCAAAUUACUAGUCUUGCUAUUCAGGUAGUGCAUAUUACUGUUGCUACCAACAGAGGGCACUACACAAGCUCCAUAGCCAAAUCCACCUAGUUGGUAACAAUCCUCAGCAGUACAGGAGAGAAGGCAAUACAUCCCAGGGGCCAUAGUCACAUGGCAGGAGGCUAGCAAUCAGUCUUCUCCAAUGCCCAGUGGCGAGGUUUGUUCCGCCACAGGGUAUAUGUGGG